UAGAAGUCAGGUCGGAUUAAGCCAUAGUACGGAAAAAACUAUGCUACCUGUGAGCCCCGUCCAAGGACGUUAAAAGAAGUCAGGCCAUCACAAGUGCCAUAGCUUGAGUAAACUAUGCAGCCUGUAGCUCCACCUGAGAAGGUGUAAAAAAUCUGGGAGGCCACAAACCAUGGAAGCUGUACGCAUGGCGUAGUGGACUAGCGGUUAGAGGAGACCCCUCCCUUACAAAUCGCAGCAACAAUGGGGGCCCAAGGUGAGAUGAAGCUGUAGUCUCACUGAAAGGACUAGAGGUUAGAGGAGACCCCCCCGAAACAA
This 315-nucleotide long non-coding RNA is filed under the name dengue virus type 2. Its description in RNAcentral is "Dengue virus type 2 partial sfRNA1". The stretch from base 243 to 314 matches the Rfam family "Flavivirus DB element". Lineage: Riboviria; Orthornavirae; Kitrinoviricota; Flasuviricetes; Amarillovirales; Flaviviridae. The record is from RNAcentral.